AGAGUUUGAUCAUGGCUCAGAACGAACGCUGGCGGCAUGCCUUAUACAUGCAAGUCGAACGAGAAAGUCACUUCGGUGGCGAGUACAGUGGCGCACGGGUGAGUAACGCGUAGAUGAUCUACCCUUCAGUCUGGGACAACUCUUGGAAACGGGAGCUAAUACCGGAUAAAACCUUCGGGUUGAAAGAUUUAUCGCUGGGGGAUGAGUCUGCGUACCAUUAGCUUGUUGGUGGGGUAAUAGCCUACCAAGGCGACGAUGGUUAGCGGGUCUGAGAGGACGAUCCGCCACACUGGAACUGAGACACGGUCCAGACUCCUACGGGAGGCAGCAGUAGGGAAUAUUGCGCAAUGGGGGCAACCCUGACGCAGCAAUGCCGCGUGAGUGAAGAAGGCCUUCGGGUCGUAAAGCUCUUUUAUGGGGGAAGAUGAUGACGGUACCCCAUGAAUAAGCACCGGCUAACUACGUGCCAGCAGCCGCGGUAAUACGUAGGGUGCGAGCGUUGUUCGGAAUUACUGGGCGUAAAGGGCGUGCAGGCGGAUUGGCAAGCCGGAGGUGAAAGCCCGGGGCUCAACCCCGGAGGGUCUUUCGGAACUGCCAGUCUUGAGAGGGUCAGGGGCCAGCGGAAUUCCUGGUGUAGAGGUGAAAUUCGUAGAGAUCAGGAGGAACACCGGCGGCGAAAGCGGCUGGCUGGGGCCACUCUGACGCUGAGGCGCGAAAGCGUGGGGAGCAAACAGGAUUAGAUACCCUGGUAGUCCACGCCGUAAACGAUGGGCACUAAGCGUCCGACGGGUUCGACCCUGUUGGGUGCUGCAGUUAACGCGUUAAGUGCCCCGCCUGGGGAGUACGGUCGCAGACUAAAACUCAAGGGAAUUGACGGGGGCCCG
This 884-nucleotide ribosomal RNA is filed under the name uncultured bacterium. RNAcentral's name for it is "bacterial SSU rRNA". It matches the Rfam family "Bacterial small subunit ribosomal RNA", at positions 8 to 923 of the family's 1533-position model. The record is from RNAcentral.